This 65-nucleotide transfer RNA is filed under the name Diploderma iadinum. RNAcentral describes it as "tRNA-Glx". The record is from RNAcentral. Lineage: Eukaryota; Metazoa; Chordata; Lepidosauria; Squamata; Agamidae.
UAAGAAGUAAGAGGUUGUAGGCUCUGUGUCUAUUUUAUCAAAAUAGUCCUUAGAUCUCGGGCAUG